RNAcentral lists this ribosomal RNA (406 nucleotides) under uncultured bacterium. RNAcentral's name for it is "bacterial SSU rRNA". It matches the Rfam family "Bacterial small subunit ribosomal RNA", at positions 917 to 1322 of the family's 1533-position model. The record is from RNAcentral.
GGACCCGCACAAGUAGCGGAGCAUGUGGUUUAAUUCGAAGCAACGCGAAGAACCUUACCUAAGCUUGACAUCCUUUUGACCGAUGCCUAAUCGCAUCUUUCCCUUCGGGGACAGAAGUGACAGGUGGUGCAUGGUUGUCGUCAGCUCGUGUCGUGAGAUGUUGGGUUAAGUCCCGCAACGAGCGCAACCCUUGCCUUUAGUUGCCAUCAUUAAGUUGGGCACUCUAGAGGGACUGCCAGGGAUAACCUGGAGGAAGGUGGGGAUGACGUCAAAUCAUCAUGCCCCUUAUGCUUAGGGCUACACACGUGCUACAAUGGGUGGUACAGAGGGCAGCCAAGUCGUGAGGCCGAGCUAAUCCCUUAAAGCCAUUCUCAGUUCGGAUUGUAGGCUGAAACUCGCCUACAUG